GUCACUAUAUUCCAGCGUUUUAGUUUUCAAGCCGUAUUAUUCGUUCAGUUGCGUUUUAACUUUCAUUAAUAUGGAGUGAUUUUUUGCGGAAGUUUUCUAGACAUUUACAUGGACUUGUGAAGAAAAGUGAACUGUGUAAAAUGCAACGGUUCAUAGGUCAAAGGUCAUUUCCAAAAACAUCACCUAAUUUGAAAGAGAAAGAUUCAGGAAUGGCGUAAGAAGGAGUGAUGCGGGACACUUGCGGAGCGGUCUGCUUAUGCGAAUGUAUUGAUCGGAGUACUGGUGCAUCCCUUGAUUAGACAACUUCCAAAAUGAUAUUCAGACAAUUCAAAAAAGCUGGACCUCGUAAUGGAGAAAACUUGAACGAUGAAACGAUGAACAGACAUACCACAAAAGAAAAUUAUCUUUAAACAUAUUUAUUCAAAAAAACUUGAAUAGCAGAAGACACACGAAGACAGAACGAAGUAUAGCGUAUAAAUCCAGUAAACUGAUUUGACUGACACAUUCUUAACAUAGCAAUGUUAGAAUCCGAUGAAGAUAUUAAUCUAAGCAGAUCAAACGCCUUUUUCAAGUAAAUUCUCCAGGAAAAACAAUGAAGAUUGAACGAACUACGUGAACAAAGUGUCAAAGUGAGAAAGUGAUACUUAAGCAUCUUUCGCCCACAUAGGAACACAACUUGUAACCGAAUGAUUUAAAUCAAGUUCUUAAACUGUCUAAGUUAAGUUCUUAAAUUAAAUUUUUAAACCAGAA
Molecule: long non-coding RNA, 750 nt
Organism: Dendroctonus ponderosae (mountain pine beetle)
Lineage: Eukaryota; Metazoa; Arthropoda; Insecta; Coleoptera; Curculionidae
Exons: 5
Source: RefSeq, a predicted model, not a curated record